AGUGAACGCUGGCGGUAGGCCUAACACAUGCAAGUCGAACGGCAGCACAGUAAGAGCUUGCUCUUACGGGUGGCGAGUGGCGGACGGGUGAGGAAUACAUCGGAAUCUACUUUUUCGUGGGGGAUAACGUAGGGAAACUUACGCUAAUACCGCAUACGACCUACGGGUGAAAGCAGGGGAUCUUCGGGCCUUGCGCGAUUGAAUGAGCCGAUGUCGGCUUAGCUAGUUGGCGGGGUAAAGGCCCACCAAGGCGACGAUCCGUAGCUGGUCUGAGAGGAUGAUCAGCCACACUGGAACUGAGACACGGUCCAGACUCCUACGGGAGGCAGCAGUGGGGAAUAUUGGACAAUGGGGGCAAGCCUGAUCCAGCCAUACCGCGUGGGUGAAGAAGGCCUUCGGGUUGUAAAGCCCUUUUGUUGGGAAAGAAAAGCAGCAGGUUAAUACCCCGCUGUUCUGACGGUACCCAAAGAAUAAGCACCGGCUAACUUCGUG
Molecule: ribosomal RNA, 492 nt
Filed under: uncultured bacterium
Lineage: Bacteria
Description: partial 16S ribosomal RNA
Rfam family: Bacterial small subunit ribosomal RNA
Source: RNAcentral